RNAcentral lists this ribosomal RNA (301 nucleotides) under uncultured bacterium. Its description in RNAcentral is "partial 16S ribosomal RNA". It matches the Rfam family "Bacterial small subunit ribosomal RNA", at positions 509 to 807 of the family's 1533-position model. The record is from RNAcentral.
CAGCAGCCGCGGGAAUACGUAGGGUGCGAGCGUUAAUCGGAAUUACUGGGCGUAAAGCGUGCGCAGGCGGCUUUGCAAGACAGAUGUGAAAUCCCCGGGCUCAACCUGGGAACUGCAUUUGUGACUGCAAGGCUAGAGUGCGGCAGAGGGAGAUGGAAUUCCGCGUGUAGCAGUGAAAUGCGUAGAUAUGCGGAGGAACACCGAUGGCGAAGGCAAUCUCCUGGGCUUGCACUGACGCUCAUGCACGAAAGCGUGGGGAGCAAGCAGGAUUAGAUACCCCAGUAGUCCCUGUCUCUUAUAC